UCAUACGCAGCAACGCCGUCCAGCCUCGCCUCGCCAGGCCAGGCAGCUCACUCGCUCGAGUGAAAGGAAUUCAUGACUACAGCUGAGCCAAACAUUCCAUGCAUGAUGUUCACUGGUCUUUCUAGAGGUGAAGAAUCUGCCAAGGUCUGGGGAGGAAGGAAAUGGAGCCAAUCUGGGGAUGAGGAAAUAAAGUGCUUGAAAAUUCA
Long non-coding RNA from Varanus komodoensis (Komodo dragon), 206 nucleotides. RefSeq lists it as uncharacterized. The transcript is spliced from 2 exons. The record is from RefSeq and is a predicted model, not a curated record. NCBI's taxonomy places the organism in Eukaryota, Metazoa, Chordata, Lepidosauria, Squamata, Varanidae.